GCCUGCCCUGUGACUAUAUGUUUAACGGCCGCGGUAUUUUGACCGUGCGAAGGUAGCGCAAUCACUUGUCUUUUAAAUGGGGACCUGUAUGAAUGGCACAACGAGGGCUUGACUGUCUCCUCUUUCAAGUCAAUGAAAUUGAUCUCCCCGUGCAGAAGCGGAGAUAAACUCAUAAGACGAGAAGACCCUAUGGAGCUUUAGACACUAAAGCAGGCCAGUAUUAAUACCCCAAAUACGAGGCACGAAUAAACUGAAUUUCUGCCCUAAUGUCUUAGGUUGGGGCGACCGCGGAGCAACAAAAAACCCCCGCAAGGACCGAAUGUACUACAUUCACAACCAAGAGCGACAGCUCUAAUUAACAGACACUUCUGACCAAUAAGAUCCGGCAACGCCGAUCAAUGGACCAAGUUACCCUAGGGAUAACAGCGCAAUCUCCUCUUAGAGCCCAUAUCAACGAGGAGGUUUACGACCUCGAUGUUGGAUCAGGACAUCCUAAUGGUGCAGCCGCUAUUAAGGGUUCGUUUGUUCAACGAUUAAAGUCCUACGUGA
Molecule: ribosomal RNA, 549 nt
Filed under: Epinephelus merra (honeycomb grouper)
Lineage: Eukaryota; Metazoa; Chordata; Actinopteri; Perciformes; Serranidae
Description: partial 16S ribosomal RNA
Rfam family: Bacterial large subunit ribosomal RNA
Source: RNAcentral